Molecule: ribosomal RNA, 244 nt
Filed under: uncultured bacterium
Lineage: Bacteria
Description: partial 16S ribosomal RNA
Rfam family: Bacterial small subunit ribosomal RNA
Source: RNAcentral
ACACGUGGGUAACCUGCCUUAUAGUGGGGGAUAGCCUUUCGAAAGGAAGAUUAAUACCGCAUAAGAUUGUAGUAUCGCAUGAUAUAGCAAUUAAAGGAGCAAUUCGCUAUAAGAUGGACCCGCGUCGCAUUAGCUAGUUGGUGAGGUAAUGGCUUACCAAGGCGACGAUGCGUAGCCGACCUGAGAGGGUGAUCGGCCACAUUGGGACUGAGACACGGCCCAGACUCCUACGGGAGGCAGCAUG